GUAAUGCCGGAUGCUCCGACUCCUCGCAUGGGGUGUCGGGAAAGAUUUCAUCGGUAUGGGAUGGGGUCGCGUCCUAUCAGGUAGUCGGCGGGGUAACGGCCCACCGAGCCUACGACGGGUAGCCGGCCUGAGAGGGCGACCGGCCACAUUGGGACUGAGAUACGGCCCAGACUCCUACGGGAGGCAGCAGUGGGGAAUAUUGCACAAUGGGCGCAAGCCUGAUGCAGCGACGCCGCGUGCGGGAUGACGGCCUUCGGGUUGUAAACCGCUUUUGAUCGGGAGCAAGCCUUCGGGUGAGUGUACCUUUCGAAUAAGCACCGGCUAACUACGUGCCAGCAGCCGCGGUAAUACGUAGGGUGCAAGCGUUAUCCGGAAUUAUUGGGCGUAAAGGGCUCGUAGGCGGUUCGUCGCGUCCGGUGUGAAAGUCCAUCGCUUAACGGUGGAUCCGCGCCGGGUACGGGCGGGCUUGAGUGCGGUAGGGGAGACUGGAAUUCCCGGUGUAACGGUGGAAUGUGUAGAUAUC
RNAcentral lists this ribosomal RNA (523 nucleotides) under Bifidobacterium pseudocatenulatum. RNAcentral's name for it is "bacterial SSU rRNA". It matches the Rfam family "Bacterial small subunit ribosomal RNA", at positions 163 to 698 of the family's 1533-position model. The record is from RNAcentral. Lineage: Bacteria; Bacillati; Actinomycetota; Actinomycetes; Bifidobacteriales; Bifidobacteriaceae.